CCGUCAAUUCCUUUGAGUUUCAGUCUUGCGACCGUACUCCCCAGGCGGCGAACUUAACGCGUUAGCUUCGAUACUGCGUGCCAAGUUGCACCCAACAUCCAGUUCGCAUCGUUUAGGGCGUGGACUACCAGGGUAUCUAAUCCUGUUUGCUCCCCACGCUUUCGUGCCUCAGUGUCAGUGUUGGUCCAGAUGGCCGCCUUCGCCACAGAUGUUCCUCCCGAUCUCUACGCAUUUCACUGCUACACCGGGAAUUCCGCCAUCCUCUACCACACUCUAGUUGCCCAGUAUCCACUGCAAUUCCCAGGUUGAGCCCAGGGCUUUCACAACGGACUUAAACAACCACCUACGCACGCUUUACGCCCAGUAAUUCCGAGUAACGCUUGCACCCUUCGUAUUACCG
Molecule: unclassified non-coding RNA, 400 nt
Filed under: uncultured fungus
Lineage: Eukaryota; Fungi
Description: sequence contains ITS1
Source: RNAcentral